GUCUACGGCCAUACCACCCUGAACGCGCCCGAUCUCGUCUGAUCUCGGAAGCUAAGCAGGGUCGGGCCUGGUUAGUACUUGGAUGGGAGAAAGAAGUAUUCAUUUCUAUCUUGUGUAAGUGACUGUUAGUUCUGGUUU
Ribosomal RNA from Panthera pardus (leopard), 138 nucleotides. Lineage: Eukaryota; Metazoa; Chordata; Mammalia; Carnivora; Felidae. The record is from Ensembl.